CGGGUGCACUGAUCCGGCCGGGCCUUUCCCUCUGUGGAACCCCAUGGCCUUCACUGGCUGUGCGGGGGAAACAGGACUUUUACUGUGAAAAAAUUAGAGUGCUCCAGGCAGGCCUAUGCUCGAAUACAUUAGCAUGGAAUAAUAGAAUAGGACGCGUGGUUCUAUUUUGUUGGUUUCUAGGACCGCCGUAAUGAUUAAUAGGGACAGUCGGGGGCAUCAGUAUUCAAUUGUCAGAGGUGAAAUUCUUGGAUCUAUUGAAGACUAACUACUGCGAAAGCAUUUGCCAAGGAUGUUUUCAUUGAUAAGGAACGAAAGUUAGGGGAUCGAAGACGAUCAGAUACCGUCGUAGUCUUAACUAUAAACUAUGCCGACUAGGGAUCGGACGAUGUUAUUUCUUGACGCGUUCGGCACCUUUCGAGAAAUCAAAGUGCUUGGGCUCCAGGGGGAGUAUGGUCGCAAGGCUGAAACUUAAAGAAAUUGACGGAAGGGCACCACCAGGGGUGGAACCUGCGGCUUAAUUUGACUCAACACGGGGAAACUCACCAGGUCCAGACACAGCGAGGAUUGACAGAUUGAGAGCUCUUUCUUGAUUCUGUGGGUGGUGGUGCAUGGCCGUUCUUAGUUGGUGGAGUGAUUUGUCUGCUUAAUUGCGAUAACGAACGAGACCUUAACCUGCUAAAUAGCCCGUACUGCUCUGGCAGUUCGCCGGCUUCUUAGAGGGACUAUCGG
RNAcentral lists this ribosomal RNA (729 nucleotides) under uncultured eukaryote. Its description in RNAcentral is "SSU rRNA". It matches the Rfam family "Eukaryotic small subunit ribosomal RNA", at positions 670 to 1426 of the family's 1831-position model. The record is from RNAcentral.